AGAUUAAGUUAUUAAGGGCGCACGGUGGAUGCCUUGGCACUAGAAGCCGAUGAAGGACGUUACUAACGACGAUAUGCUUUGGGGAGCUGUAAGUAAGCUGUGAUCCAGAGAUUUCCGAAUGGGGGAACCCAGCACGAGUUAUGUCGUGUUAUCCGCAUGUGAAUACAUAGCAUGUGAGAAGGUAGACCCGGAGAACUGAAACAUCUUAGUACCCGGAGGAAGAGAAAGAAAAAUCGAUUCCCUGAGUAGCGGCGAGCGAAACGGGAAGAGCCCAAACCAACAAGCUUGCUUGUUGGGGUUGUAGGACACUCUGUACGGAGUUACAAAGGAAUACGUUAGACGAAUAACCUGGAAAGGUUAAUCAUAGAAGGUAAUAAUCCUGUAGUCGAAAACGUAUACCCUCCUGAGUGGAUCCUGAGUACGGCGGAGCACGUGAAAUUCCGUCGGAAUCUGGGAGGACC
This 461-nucleotide ribosomal RNA is filed under the name Staphylococcus agnetis. RNAcentral's name for it is "bacterial LSU rRNA". It matches the Rfam family "Bacterial large subunit ribosomal RNA", at positions 1 to 454 of the family's 2925-position model. Lineage: Bacteria; Bacillati; Bacillota; Bacilli; Caryophanales; Staphylococcaceae. The record is from RNAcentral.